This 402-nucleotide ribosomal RNA is filed under the name uncultured bacterium. RNAcentral's name for it is "bacterial SSU rRNA". It matches the Rfam family "Bacterial small subunit ribosomal RNA", at positions 355 to 753 of the family's 1533-position model. The record is from RNAcentral.
UGAGGAAUAUUGGUCAAUGGGAGCAAUCCUGAACCAGCCAUGCCGCGUGAAGGAUGACGGCCCUAUGGGUUGUAAACUUCUUUUGUACGGGAGAAAACCUCUGGUCGUGUACCAGAGCUGAUGGUACCGUAAGAAUAAGCAUCGGCUAACUCCGUGCCAGCAGCCGCGGUAAUACGGAGGAUGCAAGCGUUAUCCGGAUUCAUUGGGUUUAAAGGGUGCGCAGGCGGAUUAUUAAGUCAGUGGUGAAAGCCUACAGCUUAACUGUAGAACUGCCAUUGAUACUGAUAUUCUUGAGUGUUGUUGAGGUAGGCGGAAUGUGUCAUGUAGCGGUGAAAUGCUUAGAUAUGACACAGAACACCGAUCGCGAAGGCAGCUUACCAAGCAACAACUGACGCUCAUGCA